RNAcentral lists this ribosomal RNA (1583 nucleotides) under uncultured bacterium. RNAcentral describes it as "bacterial SSU rRNA". It matches the Rfam family "Bacterial small subunit ribosomal RNA". The record is from RNAcentral.
AACGAACGCUGGCGGCGUGGCUAAGACAUGCAAGUCGAACGAGCUUUGUGCAUAGCACAAGGAAAUUCGAAGCACGAAAUCCGAAAUCUAAAACAAAUUGUAAACUUGAAUGUUCAAAUGCCAAAAAUUUAUUGUUUUUGGUAAUUCGGAUUUGUUUUGAGUUUCGAUAUUCGAAUUUCGGAUUUUCUCGUGCUGUGCACGAGGUUAGUGGCGAAAGGGUGAGUAAUGGAUAGGUAACGUGCCCUGGGCUUUGGGAUAGCGUCGUUCGCCUUCGGGCGAACUACCGAAAGGGGCGGUAAUACCAAAUAAUGUUAUUUGUCGAUGGACUUAUGACCAAAGAUUUAUCGGCGCAGGAGCGGCCUAUCUCUUAUCAGCUUGUUGGUGAGGUAACGGCUCACCAAGGCGACGACGGGUAGGGGACCUGAGAGGGUGACCCCCCACACUGGAACUGAAACACGGACCAGACACCUACGGGUGGCAGCAGUAGGGAAUAUUGCACAAUAGGCGAAAGCCUGAUGCAGCAACGCCGCGUGCGCGAUGAAGGCCUUCGGGUUGUAAAGCGCUUUUCUGGGGGAAGAGAAAGGACGGUACCCCAGGAAUAAGUCUCGGCUAACUACGUGCCAGCAGCCGCGGUAAAACGUAGGAGGCAAGCGUUAUCCGGAUUUACUGGGCGUAAAGCGCGUGCAGGCGGUUUGGUAAGUCGGACGUGAAAGCUCCCGGCUCAACUGGGAGAGGCCGUUCGAAACUACCAGACUAGAGGGCAGCAGANGGAGGUGGAAUUCCGGGUGUAGCGGUGAAAUGCGUAGAUAUCCGGAGGAACACCAGUGGCGAAGGCGGCCUCCUGGACUGUCCCUGACGCUAAGACGCGAAAGCUAGGGUAGCAAACGGGAUUAGAAACCCCGGUAGUCCUAGCCGUAAACGAUGCACACUUGGUGUUGGUGGCAUAAAACCCAUCAGUGCCGCAGCUAACGCGAUAAGUGUGCCGCCUGGGGACUACGGUCGCAAGGCUAAAACUCAAAGGAAUUGACGGGGGCCCGCACAAGCAGCGGAGCGUGUGGUUUAAUUCGAGGCUACGCGAAGAACCUUACCUGGGCUUGACAUGUUCGUAGUAGGGAUCCGAAAGGUGACCGACCCUUCGGGGAGCGAUCACAGGUGCUGCAUGGCUGUCGUCAGCUCGUGCCGUGAGGUGUCCGGUUAAGUCCGGUAACGAGCGCAACCCUUGCCCUGUGUUAUACGUGUCACAGGGGACUGCCCGUAUAAAGCGGGAGGAAGGUGGGGAUGACGUCAAGUCCGCAUGGCCUUUAUGUCCAGGGCUACACACACGCUACAAUGGCCGGUACAAUGGGUCGCGAAGCCGCGAGGCGGAGCCAAUCCUCCAAAGCCGGUCUCAGUUCGGAUCGUAGGCUGCAACCCGCCUACGUGAAGUUGGAGUUGCUAGUAACCGCAGGACAGCUAUACUGCGGUGAAUACGUUCCCGGGCCUUGUACACACCGCCCGUCACGUCAUGGAAGCUGGCAACACCUGAAGUCGGUGACCCAACCGCAAGGAGGGAACCGCCUAAGGUGGGGCUGGUAACUGGGACG